Molecule: ribosomal RNA, 433 nt
Filed under: uncultured bacterium
Lineage: Bacteria
Description: partial 16S ribosomal RNA
Rfam family: Bacterial small subunit ribosomal RNA
Source: RNAcentral
AACGAACGCUGGCGGCAUGCCUAACACAUGCAAGUCGAACGAGACCUUCGGGUCUAUUGGCGCACGGGUGCGUAACGCGUGGGAACCUGCCCUUAGGUUCGGAAUAACUCCCCGAAAGGGGUGCUAAUACCGGAUAAUGUCUUCGGACCAAAGAGUUAUCGCCUUUGGAUGGGCCCGCGUUGGAUUAGCUAGUUGGUAGGGUAAAAGCCUACCAAGGCGACGAUCUAUAGCUGGUCUGUGAGGAUGAUCAGCCACACUGGGACUGAGACUCGGCCCAGACUGCUACGGGACGCAGCAGUGGGGGAUACUGGACUUCGGGCGGAGUCCUUAUCCAGCAAUGCCGCGUUAAUGAUUAAGGUCGUAGAGUGGUAAAGCGCUCUUACCCGGCAUGAUAUUGACAGUACCGGAAGAAUAAGCCCCGGCUAACUCCGUG